RNAcentral lists this ribosomal RNA (492 nucleotides) under uncultured bacterium. RNAcentral describes it as "partial 16S ribosomal RNA". It matches the Rfam family "Bacterial small subunit ribosomal RNA", at positions 29 to 507 of the family's 1533-position model. The record is from RNAcentral.
AGUGAACGCUGGCGGUAGGCCUAACACAUGCAAGUCGAACGGCAGCACAGUAAGAGCUUGCUCUUACGGGUGGCGAGUGGCGGACGGGUGAGGAAUACAUCGGAAUCUACUUUUUCGUGGGGGAUAACGUAGGGAAACUUACGCUAAUACCGCAUACGACCUACGGGUGAAAGCAGGGGAUCUUCGGACCUUGCGCGAUUGAAUGAGCCGAUGUCGGAUUAGCUAGUUGGCGGGGUAAAGGCCCACCAAGGCGACGAUCCGUAGCUGGUCUGAGAGGAUGAUCAGCCACACUGGAACUGAGACACGGUCCAGACUCCUACGGGAGGCAGCAGUGGGGAAUAUUAGACAAUGGGCGCAAGCCUGAUCCAGCCAUACCGCGUGGGUGAAGAAGGCCUUCAGGUUGUAAAGCCCUUUUGUUGGGAAAGAAAAGCAGCAGGUUAAUACCCCGCUGUUCUGACGGUACCCAAAGAAUAAGCACCGGCUAACUUCGUG